GCGUUGUUCGGAAUUACUGGGCGUAAGGCGCACGUAGGCGGCUUUGUAAGUUAGAGGUGAAAGCCCGGAGCUCAACUCCGGAACUGCCUUUAAGACUGCAUCGCUUGAAUCAUGGAGAGGUCAGUGGAAUUCCGAGUGUAGAGGUGAAAUUCGUAGAUAUUCGGAAGAACACCAGUGGCGAAGGCGACUGACUGGACAUGUAUUGACGCUGAGGUGCGAAAGCGUGGGGAGCAAACAGG
RNAcentral lists this ribosomal RNA (239 nucleotides) under uncultured bacterium. RNAcentral's name for it is "partial 16S ribosomal RNA". It matches the Rfam family "Bacterial small subunit ribosomal RNA", at positions 538 to 776 of the family's 1533-position model. The record is from RNAcentral.